This 194-nucleotide unclassified non-coding RNA is filed under the name uncultured Umbelopsis. RNAcentral describes it as "sequence contains ITS2". RNAcentral also lists the same sequence under 1 other name. The record is from RNAcentral. Lineage: Eukaryota; Fungi; Mucoromycota; Umbelopsidomycetes; Umbelopsidales; Umbelopsidaceae.
AAAUCUCACAAAUGAAACAUUUUGUGGACUUGGAUUUGCGAUUAUUAAACCCAAUUGCUAAUCUGAAAUGAAUUUCAUGAAGCUUAUUAUGCUUUGAAUCUUUGCUUAAUAGUUUUGCUUUUGUCAAAUCUUUUGCAAUUGAUCCCAAAAAGCCCAGAAAGUGGAUUGAUUUUACGAAAAAUCAAACUCUCAUU